Long non-coding RNA from Cebus imitator (Panamanian white-faced capuchin), 2521 nucleotides. RefSeq lists it as uncharacterized. NCBI's taxonomy places the organism in Eukaryota, Metazoa, Chordata, Mammalia, Primates, Cebidae. The transcript has 2 exons. The record is from RefSeq and is a predicted model, not a curated record.
CCCGCCGCGCGCCCGACACCCGCCGGGGCCCCGCCGCCAGCGCCUCCCCCGCGCACCCCCCCCGUCUCCGCUCUGCCCCGGGCGCUGGCGACCUUCACCCCGCGCCGCGCCCCCCGCGCUGUGCCAAGCGCGCCGUAAUCUAAUCUCUGCCGGCAGCCCGGGCCCCCGCGUCUCGGCUUGGGCACCGGGGGUCCAGCCCAGGAGGGGGCUGCGCAGAGGCUGGGAGGAGGGUGGUUGGGGGCGCGGCCCGGGCGGCGCCCGGCCCCUCGCGGCCUGCCCCUCCCCCGCAUCUGUGAGAUGGUGCGGUGAUAGGGCGGCCCCGAUCUGGGCUCAGAUAAAGUUUAAAAUAUUCCAUUCUGCAAGUCCCGUCCUGAUAAGAUCGUUCUGUCGGGACGGGCUGAAAUUGUGAUCUUAUCUGGCGCGGUUGACUCUCCCAGGCUUUCUAUGUAGAAGCAGAGAGAGAGACCUGGGAGGGAGAGGGGACACCCGGGGCCGCGUGGAGAUGCCUGGUCAAGUGGCAGGGACCCGCCCGCGCCCACCCCACCGGUGCCGCUGCAGAGCCGCAGGACAGGGGAGGGGGCAGCGCGCAGCUGCCGCAGCCUAGGCACUUGGCUCCAGCCCCCCAGCUUCCCCUUCCCCGGCCCCUGUGCCCUAGCGCCGGGGUUCUCAACCCAAGCCCUGCUUGCCUGGCGACACCUCCUGGACCCUGCAAGUGUCCCAGCCAAGGCGACAUGGGCCGCAAAUGGUGCCCUUGGCAUCCCAGGGGGCUGCUCCGGUUCAGAGAAGCGCCUCCCAGGACGCAGCCCCGGGCCGGGGUCGCCCCUGCACGCGACCAAGUUUCUCGCUGGUCCGGCUCCCUGCGGGGUCAGAGGCUGCUGCCCCGCCGCCACAUUGCCGGUGCCCCAGCGGGCCGAGGCGCAGGUCUUCUUCCCCGUGGCGCCUCCUCGGAGCCUGACCGGCAGGUUGUUUGAGCCCUGCCGGGAGGCCACGACGAAAACCCGCCCGCUGCCCAGCCGCAGGCGCCCGGACACUGCCUCCUUUGUCCACACGCCCGCUGCCACCAGGACCCCUUGUGCGGAAUGGGGAUCACAGGCAUGAACCGGGUUCCCGUAACCCAACUCCCCCGAGCAAACGGGACCUGUUUUCCGAAAGUCGCCUUCUAUCAUGUCAACUCAAGUAUUAAAAACCACCCACAGGUCCCGAUCUGCGCUGGUUCUCUGGUUUCUUUUUCCUUCCUCCCCUGAGCGCCUCUGUUGGGUUCUGGGGCGCGCGCGCGCGCGUGUGUGUGUGUGUGUGUGUGUGUGUGUGUUUCGCUGUGAUGAGAAAUGCAGAUAGCUCCGGCAGGGAGAUCGCAGGUUGGGAACCGAUCACCAGAGUUGAUAAGGCCGCCAGCGCCAGCGAGAGCACGGAGCUCAGCCCAUCAGGGCGGGCAGAGCGCGCGCACUUUGAGAACUGGGACCGCGGCGGGUGCACUGUGCGCCCUCGCGGGGCAUCCUGGUUGCGCCCUGGGACCGGGCUGGGGAAGGGCCCGAACGAGGGAGGCGGGGCCGCUCGCCGCCGGGGGCGCCUCCUCCCCUUGGCAGAUCUCAGCACGUUAAGAUGCGGAGGCUGAUUGUCACCAAGCGGCGGCCCCCGCCCGCCCUCCGCCAGCGCCUGUGCGUGCCCCCUGCCCUGGGCUCACCUGCGGCCCGGCCAAGAGUGCGGAGGGGCGGGGGCCGAGCGCCUUGGGCCGCCCACCCCCACCCGCGCCCCCAUCAAAGCCCUGGCGCAGCUGCCCGCGCCUCUGUGCGCCUUUUGUUCCGUGCGGAGAUAGAUGUGCCGCGCUGAUAAGGCGAGCAACCGAUGGUGGCUGCGAUAGGCGCUUCCAUUUAUUAACUUCAAACGUGGGAGCGGGGGCAGGGCGAGGCGGGAGCGCGGCCUUGGCCGGCCAGAUGGCGAAGGCGAUAGGCCGGGCCGCCUCGGGGAGCGCGGGGCCGGGGCAGCUCGGGACCCCCAGCGCCCCCAGCCCGUCGGGCUUUCCUCCCGCCCGAGUCGAUGUGAGCUCCGAUAAGCGCUGGGCCGGUCUGCCCGAUGGCGAUCGCCAAGAGCGAUAAGAGGCCUUAUCUUUGGCCACCAGGCCCGGCCGGGUUGGAGAACAGCGCGGGGGCGUCGAGGCUGGGGCGAGUGGGGGUAUGGAACGGCCCGGGUGGGGGCCGGGGGACCGGCGUCCCUGCGCUGGUCUGUCUGGGGGAGCUUUCUCCCCAAACACGCUUAAUUACCAAGAAGUUGAUCCUCCCCUGUGGCCGGUGGUACAGUCCAUCAAAAUGAAAGAAAACUGACUUUGCCCUGGCCGGGAGGGGGAGCGGGAAGGACACCCCGCCCCGAUUCCUCUUAGAUGGUGCGAGACCGCUGGAGGUGGGUUUGUCACCUCCAGAGAGAGGAGAGGGUGUUUUCCCCUUGAAUCAUGCUGGUGUUGUUGGCAGUUCCUGGCAAGAACAAGUGUACGCUGCUUGGAGUUUUCUUAAAAAAAAAAAAAAAAAAA